UGGGGAAUAUUGCACAAUGGGGAACCGUAGCAUGCAGCCAUGCCGCCGUGUAUGAAUGAAGGCAGCUUAGGGUUGUAAAGUACUUUCGGUGAUGAGGAAGGUACUUGGUCUAAUAGGCCAAGUAAUUGACGUUAAUUACAGAAGAAGCACCGGCUAACUCCGUGCCAGCAGCCGCGGUAAUACGGAGGGUGCGAGCGUUAAUCGGAAUGACUGGGCGUAAAGGGCAUGUAGGCGGAUGAUUAAGUUAGGUGUGAAAUCCCCGACGCUCAACUUGGGAAUUGCAUUUAAAACUGGUCGUCUAGAGUAUUGUAGAGGAAGGUAGAAUUCCACGUGUAGCGGUGAAAUGCGUUAGAGAUGUGGAGGAAUACCGGUGGCGAAGGCGGCCUUCUGGACAGAUACUGACGCUGAGAUGCGAAAGCGUGGGGAGCAAACA
This 433-nucleotide ribosomal RNA is filed under the name uncultured Orbus sp. RNAcentral's name for it is "bacterial SSU rRNA". It matches the Rfam family "Bacterial small subunit ribosomal RNA", at positions 355 to 774 of the family's 1533-position model. Lineage: Bacteria; Pseudomonadati; Pseudomonadota; Gammaproteobacteria; Orbales; Orbaceae. The record is from RNAcentral.